This is a long non-coding RNA of Mobula hypostoma (lesser devil ray), 714 nucleotides long. RefSeq lists it as uncharacterized. The transcript has 3 exons. The record is from RefSeq and is a predicted model, not a curated record. Lineage: Eukaryota; Metazoa; Chordata; Chondrichthyes; Myliobatiformes; Myliobatidae.
GGAAACGGUAAUUACUUCAUUAAAUGGGUCAAGUAUAGACUCAUAAUGGGACAUAGAGUCUAUAAUGUGUAACCAAACCACGUGAAUUUAGUUACCUUCCUGAACUAAUUGGCUGCUGGUUUAAACGCGAAAAAAGUCUACUUUCCCACGUUUAAAAGGAAGAGGUUGUUUCGUAACACAAAGUUAGAUUUGCUAUUACCUGAAACAACGCAGAAUGAAAACAAAACGUUUGAUCACACUCUAAUGUAUAUUUUGGAUCGAUAUAUGUGCCUUUAAACAUUUACAGCGAAAUUCACUCACCCAAAAAGCGUCCUUAAACCGGAGGCGAGUCAUACUGAGUGAGGAGGUUCUACAACCAACCUGGAAUGUUUGUUCAGAUCCAUUUUAAACUUAUUCAAAACUCAGCUUUGAAGGAGUGGCAGACUUGAGAAGUCCACAUUUACAACCCAGUGCAGCAUGUCCCACUCCAGAAAAUGAAGAAUUGCACGUUGUGAAAAUCACCACUAAAGUUAUGAAUACUGUGUCUGUGCAAGAACAUGAUCUGCCUGUAGCGUGAAGUAGCGUGAAAAAUCAUUUGCACAAGACUGAUGUCUCAGAGAAAGUUCCAGAGUAUUACAGAAUCACUUCAAAGAAGAUACAUAAUUCAAAAAUGAACUUGUUUCUGCAAAGAAAAUUAAGUCAACUUUAUUACUCGUUAUGAGUGAUAAUUAAACA